UAAGGAAUAUUGGACAAUGCCCGCAAGGGUGAUCCAGCCAUGCCGCGUGCAGGAAGACGGCCCUAUGGGUUGUAAACUGCUUUUACACCGGAGAAAACCCCGCUACGUGUAGCGGGCUGAUAGUAUGGUGAGAAUAAGCAUCGGCUAACUUCGUGCCAGCAGCCGCGGUAAGACGAAGGAUGCAAGCGUUAUCCGGAUUCAUUGGGUUUAAAGGGAGCGUAGGUGGCCUGAUAAGUCAGUGGUGAAAUCUCGAGGCUUAACCUCGAAAUUGCCAUUGAUACUGUUAGGCUUGAGUAUAGUUGCCGUUGGCGGAAUAUGACAUGUAGUGGUGAAAUACAUAGAGAUGUCAUAGAACACCGAUUGCGAAGGCAGCUAACGAAACUAUAACUGACACUGAGGCUCGAAAGUGCGGGGAUCAAACAGGAUUAGAUACCCCCGUAGUCC
RNAcentral lists this ribosomal RNA (444 nucleotides) under uncultured bacterium. RNAcentral describes it as "bacterial SSU rRNA". It matches the Rfam family "Bacterial small subunit ribosomal RNA", at positions 355 to 796 of the family's 1533-position model. The record is from RNAcentral.